GAGCUGGCUGCGCAAAGGGAACUAGUGGUUUAGAUAGCAGUGCUCAUCAUGCUGAAAGCUGUGAUCCUGAUUGGAGGCCCUCAGAAGGGAACGCGCUUCAGGCCUUUGUCUUUUGAGGUCCCCAAGCCAUUGUUUCCUGUAGCUGGGUCCCUAUGAUCCAGCACCAUAUCGAGGCCUGUGCCCAGGUGCCUAGAAUGCAGGAGAUUCUGCUCAUUGGCUUCUACCAACCUGAUGAGGCCCUCUCGCAGUUCUUGGAAGCCGCACAACAGGAGUUCAACCUUCCAGUCAGGUACUUGCAGGAGUUUGCCCCCCUGGGCACAGGUGGUGGUCUCUACCAUUUUCGGGACCAGAUCCUGGCUGGGGGUCCUGAGGCAUUCUUUGUGCUCAAUGCAGACGUCUGCUCUGACUUCCCCUUGAGUGCUAUGCUGGAUGCCCACAGACGCCAGCGACACCCUUUUCUACUCCUUGGCACCACAGCUAACAGAACACAGUCCCUCAACUACGGCUGCAUCGUUGAGAAUCCACAGACCCAUGAGGUCCUGCACUAUGUGGAGAAAUCCAGCAUGUUCAUCAGUGACAUCAUCAACUGUGGCAUUUAUCUUUUUUCUCCGGAAGCCCUGACCCCUCUGUGGGAUGGCUUCCAGCGUAAUCAGCAGGAAAGGCAACUCUCAGCUCUCUAUGCCUCCUGCCUCUAUCUGGGCCAAUACCAGGUCACUCACCCAGAACGGCUAGCCAAGCACACACCAGGGGGUCCACAGAUCCGAGGAAACGUUUACAUCCACUCUACAGCUAAAGUGGCCCCAUCAGCCGUGCUAGGCCCUAAGUUCUCCAUAGGAAAGGGGGUGACUGUGGGCGAGGGUGUGCGGCUCCGAGAAAGCAUUGUCCUCCAUGGAGCCUCAUUGCAGGAGCACACGUGUUCUGCACAGUAUUGUGGGCUGGUGGAGCACUGUGGGGCGCUGGGCCCGUGUGGAAGGGACUCCCAACGACCCCAUCCCCAAUGACCCCCGAGCCUGCAUGGACAGUGUGAGCCUCUUCAAGGACGGGAAGCUACUGCCUGCUAUCACUAUCCCGGGCUGCCGUGUCCGGAUCCCUGCCAAGGUUCUCAUCCUGAACUCGAUUGUUCUGCCACACAAGGAGCUGAGCUGUAGCUUUACCAACCAGAUCAUGCUCUGAGGGGGGCUGUCAGGAGGUCCCCCAACUCCUGACUACUCCCCUUGAGAGGCUGCUGCCUGCUUGCCCAGCCUUGGAAAGGAACCAGGGAAACCAGGCAGGAUCUUCACAGGCUGGGAGUUAUGUGGGUGGCCGAGGACUCCUGGCCUCCCUCCCUACUCCCAAAUAAA
Octodon degus (degu) is the source of this 1340-nucleotide RNA transcript. It is a transcript of the gene named mannose-1-phosphate guanyltransferase alpha pseudogene, with no coding region annotated. The record is from RefSeq and is a predicted model, not a curated record. NCBI's taxonomy places the organism in Eukaryota, Metazoa, Chordata, Mammalia, Rodentia, Octodontidae. The transcript has a single exon.